UAUAAUUUCACGUCCAUUCAAUAUGUAAAUGACAACAAUUUUUUCAUUUAUAUUUUCAUUUCAUUUUCAUUCAUUUCAUUUAUAUUUUCAUUCAUUUCAUUUAUAUUUUCAUUUAUUUAUAUUAACAUUUCAUUUAUAUUCCAAUUUUUUCAUUCCCUGAGGCCAGGUGAUCUCGUGUUCGUAUUUUAGCCAAUCAGCGCUCAGAAAGGGUUGUCCGAAUAGAAAUCCAUUUUGAUGUAUUCAGUCAAUUAUAUCUUUUGUUACCCUUUAUGAAACUAGUUGAAAUUUUGUUAUUAUGUUUGGUUAUGAGAACGAAAGCUCUGACAAAAAUAUGGAAUCGAAAUAAAGUAUAUUACAGGAAAUAUUCAGUUGUUUUAAUCACAAAAUGGAUUUCUAUUUGACAACUAGUGCCAGUACUUUUCCGCGUAUCAAGAUCACCUGGCCGAAUUAUAUCCAAAAUCUUUUCACUUCCAACAUAGCUAAUAGAGGAGAUGGUUUGGAAACUCGUUAGCAUUACAAUAAAAUUACAAUAAACCUCAUUAUAAUAUAGUCAUCCACCGUAUAUGAGCUGUUCUGCAAUCUGAUUGGUUGAAUUACUCGCCGUAUAUCAGCUCAUAUACGGCGAGUAGCGAAAAACAAGAUGGCGGUCCAAAAACUACAUGAGUUUUGCGAAGCAGAACAAGAAAAAUAUUCCCUUUGAGAAACAUAAGAGUACAAGGAAAACAACAGCGAAAAAACAUGUUCAUUGAAAAUAUAAAUUGUUCAGAAAAGUUUGCAAUGGACGACAAAUGAAUUUGCAGUCAACAAGCACUUACUAUAGUACCAAACAUCUGUAUAAUAUAUCUGAG
This is a non-coding RNA of Paramuricea clavata, 848 nucleotides long. The record is from the annotation of a GenBank genome assembly. NCBI's taxonomy places the organism in Eukaryota, Metazoa, Cnidaria, Anthozoa, Malacalcyonacea, Plexauridae.